CGGAGUAUAGCUCAGCUUGGUAGAGCGCCACCUUCGGGAGGUGGAGGUCGUAGGUUCAAAUCCUGCUACUCCGACCA
Molecule: transfer RNA, 77 nt
Filed under: Salinisphaera hydrothermalis
Lineage: Bacteria; Pseudomonadati; Pseudomonadota; Gammaproteobacteria; Salinisphaerales; Salinisphaeraceae
Also listed under: 19 other names
Description: tRNA-Pro
Rfam family: tRNA
About the family: Transfer RNA (tRNA) molecules are approximately 80 nucleotides in length.
Source: RNAcentral